Molecule: long non-coding RNA, 1483 nt
Organism: Artibeus jamaicensis (Jamaican fruit-eating bat)
Lineage: Eukaryota; Metazoa; Chordata; Mammalia; Chiroptera; Phyllostomidae
Exons: 3
Source: RefSeq, a predicted model, not a curated record
CCCUGAGGCCGGGAGGGCCAGGCUCCCCUGCUGGCCUCGGGGUUCGCGGAGGGCAGGUGAAACUCGUCCCCUGCGGACGUCUGCCGCACGCCAGCGGCGGGCGGCUGAGGUACGUUUCAACUCGGCAGGUAUCUGCCGGGCUAGCUGGAUACUCCGCCCGACGUGACUACAAGGUAAAGAAUGCAAAGAACCACCCCGUGAAUCAUUCAUCCACUCCUCCUCGGGAAACAAGAUCCUCCCCUGAAUGAUUUUUCCAAGUUAAUUCAAUUCAGCAAGCGUUUACUGAACACUGACUCGGUACCUAGCGCUGUGCCGGGUGCUGCGUGGGUACACCAUCCCGGUCACGGUCCUUGGUCUCGAGAAGCGCAUAACUUAGUGGAAAAGCAGCCGUAUAAACAACCUGGACUGGUGACCCGUGCAAAGCCAGUCACAGGGAGAUGCUGUGGAGGGCUUCGGAGCAAGAGAUCACUUCCGCUUGGACCGUGGAGACAGGUUCCUAGAAGAGGUGGCAUUUGUGUUCAGCCUUGAAGGAAGAAAAGGACAGAGGCUUAGUAGAAAAGGGGAAGGGCAUCGAAGACGAGGAAAACAGCUUGGGCAAAUGAACAAAGGGUCGCCAAGGUUUCCCAUCUCAGCAUCGGUUUUUUUCUUUUAAUGUUAUACAUUUUUGAUAGAGUCCUUUCCAAACCAUGUAAAACAUAAGAUGAUUCCAAGUUAGAGACAGCUAAGCCUUUUUAAUGACUCCAAAGCAUCAUUUUCCUCAACGCUCUUUAAGGCUGAACAGAGCAGUGUGCUUCAAGGACUACUGCAUGUGAGUGAAGUGUGUUGACUCCCUCAGUGAAGAGACCCGAAGCCAGCCUGUUUUCAGUCUGGUAUUGACUGCUUUUUGGCACCUUAUGAUGAGGCAGAUCGAGCCACCUGCUGCUGUCUGCCUGCCUUCAGAACAAACUCUUCCUCCUCCUCUCAUCUUCCUAUUUUUAAACCCCUAUGGUGAAGGAAAAAUGCUGGCAACCAACUUUGUUGAGUGGGAGUAAACAGAUUCCUCAGAAAAAGGCAUCACCUUUCCCGUGGGACCCUCGGGACAACUUGGCAUGCUUAGCAGACAUGAUCGCUUGGAUGCAGGGCCUCGACUGCGUUCUGGAUGUGUUAAGAUGCUAAGAAUACAAAGAAGAGACAUCUUGUUUAUUCAUUUACCACUUCUGAGCACCAACUGUGUAGGAGGCAUUGAAAGGCUAGCACUCCAACUUCUAGGAAUUCACCCAAAAGAUGCCUCCAAGGGUACGACACACUCUUACACGUGUGAGCUUCCGCAUCGUAGCAACAUUUGAAGAACAUUGGAAACUGCCUGAAUGCCCAAACAUGGAAGACGGGGUCACCCGGGAAGAGGAGCACAGUGAACCUCCCAGGCCGCUCAGGGCCGCAGGUUUGGCCAGGCAGGAGCCCACCGUGUCGGGAAGGAAGCUGGAGGAGGCACAGAGCUGCCGAG